AAUACGUAUAUUAGUGCUUCCAGCUGUAUCUGCAUCAUUUUCUAUUAUUGCAAUGCAAGUUGUAUUGAAAAAAAAAGAAGAAUCAUUGCGUAAACGACGUUGGUGGUACAGAAAACUGUUUCAUCAGUGAUUGCAGUGUGAUAAUAGAUUCGUGAAAGAUAUGCAAGGCAAACUUGUAGACAACAUAAUUAAAAUAUUCACUCGUAUGACAUUGGAGAUUCAAAAGUUACAAGAAUGGAUACCAACACGAGAAAUGCAAGUACUGUAAAGUAAAGAGUUUCCAAGUGUUCAAUAUCAGGAAUCAUUCCGAGUGCAUGUGAUGGAAUAAUUGACUCGCUUUGAGAAUAUGUUAAGAGACAAUAAGACAAUAUGCGACAAGAAACAGUAAACACGGUGUGAAGCAAAUAGAUGAAUCUUUAUUGGCAUCCAAAUACCGACUGAGCUUCCAUUCGUCACUAGCCAUUCUUGCAUUGACUCGAAUAAUACACAAUAAUUAUUCAAGUUCACACUGAUCGAAACAAAUCGUGCCUUGCCUCACACAUCAUGCCUCGCACAUUAUAUUCGCAUCAUGUAAAUCCACCUUAAAUUUAAAGAAGUAAUAUGUCCAAAAAACUACAUAUUUAUGUAUCUAUAUGUAAUAUAAAUAAUACAUCAGUAUUAAC
Sipha flava (yellow sugarcane aphid) is the source of this 662-nucleotide long non-coding RNA. RefSeq lists it as uncharacterized. The transcript is spliced from 3 exons. NCBI's taxonomy places the organism in Eukaryota, Metazoa, Arthropoda, Insecta, Hemiptera, Aphididae. The record is from RefSeq and is a predicted model, not a curated record.